UAUAAAUUAUCAAGUCUUCUGUAGUUACUAUCUAUCAAUUUAUUCCAAAUUGGUUGCUACUCAGAAACAGUGCUUAGCAGCUUUUUAGAGGUUAGUUGUAAAGGACUGUAUGGUGCUGAGCUGAGUUUUCUCAAGAGGAAGGCCUAGGGGAAAAUGAGGAGAUCCUUAAAAAGCUAUGUUUGGCUGCGUACUUCAUUCAGGAUAAACUACGAAGUCUCCUUUUGUCUGACAAGAAAUGAAAUCCAUUAUGAUAUCUUAAAGGGAAUCUAUAUGUGAUCGAUGGAGUAGUUUCCACAGCUCCUUGCAGAUGAACCCACAUUUCCAGGAGGCACUGAGGAAGUUUCAAAAGCCCUAUGCUUUGUGUGCGCAGUGUUGUUUUCUCGAAGCUGAAAAGUAAAUGUUUAAUGAGAAGGUUUUGUGAAACUAAUGAGUUUCCUUACUCUGGUUAUGGAGCCAGUAAAAUUCACUCUGGCAGCAAAUACCAGUUAUGAAACAAUAUUGGUCAAGCUUUCAGCCAGAAGUCUGGAGAACAUUGUUAUAUUUAUCUUCCUGUUAGAGCUCAUAUUAGCUGUAAUGUAGUUAUACUGUUUCUCCUAAAAAUAAAAUGGAAAGGUAGUCUUUUUACUCCAGAUACCUAGUCUUAGAAAAAUCCAGAAUGGUAUUUCCUUAGAUAUGAGACUUAAUUUUAAACUACAAAAGUGAUUAAAAGUGAUUGACUAAAUUAAGAUAGGCGUAUGACUAUCUCAUACCUUUGUUGCAUGAAGAUACUUUAAAAAAAAAAAA
Molecule: long non-coding RNA, 783 nt
Organism: Phasianus colchicus (ring-necked pheasant)
Lineage: Eukaryota; Metazoa; Chordata; Aves; Galliformes; Phasianidae
Source: RefSeq, a predicted model, not a curated record